RNAcentral lists this ribosomal RNA (467 nucleotides) under uncultured bacterium. RNAcentral's name for it is "partial 16S ribosomal RNA". It matches the Rfam family "Bacterial small subunit ribosomal RNA", at positions 28 to 507 of the family's 1533-position model. The record is from RNAcentral.
GACGAACGCUGGCGGCGUGCUUAACACAUGCAAGUCGAAUGGAAAGGCCUCUUUCGGGGGGUACUCGAGUGGCGAACGGGUGAGUAACACGUGAGUAACCUGCCCUUGACUUUGGGAUAACUUCAGGAAACUGGGGCUAAUACCGGAUAGGAGCUCCUGCUGCAUGGUGGGGGUUGGAAAGUUUCGGCGGGUGGGGAUGGACUCGCGGCUUAUCAGCUUGUUGGUGGGGUAGUGGCUUACCAAGGCUUUGACGGGUAGCCGGCCUGAGAGGGUGACCGGCCACAUUGGGACUGAGAUACGGCACAGACUCCUACGGGAGGCAGCAGUGGGGAAUAUUGCACAAUGGGUGGAAGCCUGAUGCAGCAACGCCGUGUGCGGGAUGACGGCCUUCGGGUUGUAAACCGCUUUCGCUCAUGACGAAGCUUUGUGUGACGGUAGUGGGUAAAGAAGCACCGGCUAACUACGUG